AACCCGCCUGCGUGAAGUUGGAAUCGCUAGUAAUCGCGGAUCAGAAUGCCGCGGUGAAUACGUUCCCGGGCCUUGUACACACCGCCCGUCACACCAUGAGAGUCGGGAACACCCGAAGUCCGUAGCCUAACCGCAAGGGGGCGCGGCCGAAGGUGGGUUCGAUAAUUGGGGUGAAGUCGUAACAAGGUAUC
This 191-nucleotide ribosomal RNA is filed under the name uncultured bacterium. RNAcentral describes it as "partial 16S ribosomal RNA". It matches the Rfam family "Bacterial small subunit ribosomal RNA", at positions 1309 to 1500 of the family's 1533-position model. The record is from RNAcentral.